This 239-nucleotide ribosomal RNA is filed under the name uncultured bacterium. RNAcentral's name for it is "partial 16S ribosomal RNA". It matches the Rfam family "Bacterial small subunit ribosomal RNA", at positions 538 to 776 of the family's 1533-position model. The record is from RNAcentral.
GCGUUGUCCGGACUCAUUGGGCGUAAAGAGCGUGUAGGCGGUCCGUUAAGUCCGCUGUGAAAGUCGGGGGCUCAACCCUCGAAUGCCGGUGGAUACUGUCGGGCUAGAGUGCGGAAGAGGCGAGUGGAAUUCCUGGUGUAGCGGUGAAAUGCGCAGAUAUCAGGAGGAACACCUAUUGCGAAGGCAGCUCGCUGGGACGUAACUGACGCUGAGACGCGAAAGCGUGGGGAGCAAACAGG